This 4621-nucleotide long non-coding RNA is filed under the name Homo sapiens (human). RNAcentral's name for it is "HSALNT0248382". The record is from RNAcentral. Lineage: Eukaryota; Metazoa; Chordata; Mammalia; Primates; Hominidae.
AAGAAGUGAGAACUACUUAUGAAACAAUAGUUUAGCAUUAUGCUUUAAGCUAAUGUCUAUAGAUAUAAUCUGUUCCUCCAUAAAAUCUGUGUUAGUCUUAACAAAUAAUAGUGAUAAUGUUUUAAAAACCCUAACAAAGUUUCUCUGAGGUAGUUUACUUGAAGAGUAUGGUAAUAGAACUCAUUGACCAUCACUUACUCUGCUGUUCCAGUUUGUGCAUAAUCUCUGGUCUUUCUUUCAGAUUCUUGGCCUUCCUUCCCAGUUGUCAAUUUUGACAAAUCACAUUUGGUUCAUUAAGCUAAGAUCUUAAGACCACGUAAAUACUAAUAUAAUUAACUGAUUUGGCCAGGCUCGGUGGCUCACGUCUGUAAUCCCAGCACUUUGGGAGGCCGAGGCAGGUGGAUCACCUGAGGUCAGGAGUUCGAGACCAGCCUGGCCAAUAUGGUGAAACCAUGUCUCUACUAAAAUUACAAAACAAAACAAAACAAAACAAAAAUUAGCUGAGUGUGGCGGCAGGCACCUGGAGUCCCAGCUACUCGGGAGGCUAAGGCAGGGAAUCACUUGAACCCAGCAGGCAGAAGUUGCAGUGAGCCGAGAUCACAUCACUUCAUAGCAAGACUCCAUCUCAAAAUUUAAAAAAAAUUAACUGAUUUCUCCCCCUUGGUGCUCUUGCAGCAGAUAACACAAAGUUUAAUUUUGCUAAAUAACUAAAGAAAUAGUGUUCUUUAUCCAAAGCUGGAGUCUGAGCUGGGAACCUUGCUGGAACACUCUGCAGACAUUGAGCAACGCUCGUCCAUGGGCCCUUUGGCUCUAGGAUCGGCUGAGGGCACCAUGCUGAACCCCUCUGGGAGAGUAGUGCCUUGUGUGUGUCAGUCGAGGCCUAGGCUGGGACUGACUUCUUUUCCACGCCUACAUCACAAUUGGCAUUAUGUAAAAUGAUUAUGAGUUCUGUCUCCUCGUGAGCCUCAGGCCUGGCUGAGGCCAGAAGUGUGGAGCGCCAGCGUGACAGCUGCUCCCUCAAACCUGUCGUCCGCCUUUCACCUCUGUGCUUACUCAUUACGAAUUUCUUUUUAUCUGAAAGUAAUUCCGCAUAUAUUUUUAAGUUUUAGAAUAAUUUAAAGCAUGAAAAGAAAGUUGUAACAACCAACACUAAACCCCAAGAUCACACACACACUCCUAAUUUUUCUGGUUGGAAUGUCCUGAAAUAAAUUCCUAUAGUGAGUCGAUUUACUGUCCUUAGCCAAGUUUAUGCCAGUGCCUAGCCAGAAACCCAAGACCUCCCUGAGACAGCACAGCCCGUGAGAAGCCCUGGAUGAGAAGCUGGGGGCUUCGGGAGAUGCGUUCGACCCCGCGCAAGCUCAAUGCACAAUGUUAGGAAAUGGGUCUCUGCCGUGAAUGGAUUCUUCAAGUGCACUGCACAAUGCACUGGAAAAAAGAGAAAUUCUCAUAAAAGCCAUGAGCAUCAAAAUGAGAUCAGGCUUCUCAACAGCCAUGGUGGGCAGGAGAGAAGAAGAGCAAUACCUCCCAUUUCAGAUGGAAAAUUACUUUUCACCUAGAAUUUUCUAUCCAACAAAUAUAAGUCAAAUAUGAGAAUACAAGAAAGAUAUUUUCAGAAAUGAAAAGUAAAAAAAAAAAAAAUGUAGUCUUCACGCACACUUUCUCAGACAAUUACUGAAAGUUCUGUUCCAUCAAAGCAAGAGAGUAUGUGAAGGGGAAAAAAUGGGAUCCAGGAAUGAAGGGAUCCAACUCCAGAGACCAAGAAAGGAGCUAUGCAGACAGCAGGGAAAGGAAGUCCCAGGAGAGCAGCUGCCCUGCAGCCUGAAGACGACUGGAGGUGGUAGAGGAGAGGACAGGGCACCCACGACCAACUGCACUAUGAUGCAUUUCACAGAACGCUUGAGGGUAUGGGCCACUUAAACAGAACCCAAGAAUCCAAGACAAAUUCUAAAAUGAGGAAUUUAUCAAUUCCUAGAAAAAAAUGGUAAAAAGAAAGGAAAUGUAAUAACAACACACAAAAUGAUUCAGCAGCCAAUAUUCAACCUACUUACAAGAAUCAAAACACUGAAUAUGAAUGUAACCGGAAGAGGCCAGCUACCUACACCAGGAGGGUGGAGGAGAGCAAGGACGGGUGGCAGACAAGGCUGCUCAUCUGUCCUAAAAGGAAACUAGCAGGUAAUCGCUAAAAAGAAUGAACGAAGACAGAGGACUAUGUGCCUACCAUUUUGCUACGUAGAGGUAAAUAACAAGAAACAGCUUAAAAAAUGGUUACUGUUGAGGACUGAUGCUUUUCUUAAGGAACUUAUUAAACCUUGGGCACAGGCAAUGUCAAUAAACUAAAAAUUCAUUUAAAAAACCAACACAUAACAUAUAGCUUAGAGACAUGCAAGUCCAUGGUUAAGCCUCGUUCUCAGCCUAAAACAGUAGCUCUCAUCACUUGCUAUGCAUAGAAUCACCCUAGAGCUCUCAGAAAGGAUUGAUUGCUGCUGCUUCUCAUCUAGUAGGUAGUCCAGGCAGGGCCCAGGCAUCUGGCGAUUUCUAAUGUGACUCCAAGGGCGAGAACCACUGCUUAGGUGGUUUACAGAAGAGGCCCAGUAGUUCUGUGGAUUCCUGAAGUCUGUGUGCAAAAUUGCAAAUGUGAGUGUAUUUUUCUGGAGCCUUGGAAGGUCCAUGCUUUCAUCACAAUUUCAAAGGAGUUACGGCCUUUUCUCUCACCCAUCCUGGGCACUAAAGAGUAAGACUCACCACCUAACACAGGUAGAGCUGCCUUAAGGGAAAAACGCAGCUUACAUUUCAUCAAUUUAACUUCUCUUUGAAACAUGCUUCAGGGACAUGCAAGCUUAUCAGAUGGGGUAGCACUGGCUCCCAUGGCUCUUGGGCCUCAUUUCUGCCUGCAGAGUGAUAAUCUACCCUCAGAAAACAACUAUGAUUCUUUGUCCCCAUGAGGCUGCUGGCGAGAGCUCCUGUCUGGCCUCUGUGCAGCAGCCCAGCAAGGGGCCGUGCCCCGUGGGAUAUGCCAGUGCAUUCUCCAGCACAGGGCUACAUACUCGCAAAGCCUAAAUUUUCACUAGGAGUCAUACAACAAAACCCUUCCAAAAGCCAUCUGCGUGGUGGCCCUUCCCUGAGCUGCUGGGCAGAGGCCGGACAAGAGCCUUCACCACAGUGCCCUUGGAAGACCCAGCAGCCACAAGCAGCAGCUUGAAUGGGACGCAGCCUUUUCCCCAGCCUAUGGGUCAUCAUACAACCUCUCACUUUGUUUGAAUUUGCAAAAAAGCGAAGUAAGCAUUUAAGCUCUUUAUUUGAUGGAUUCCGCCCCUCCUCCCAGUUGAUUUUAAUAAUUUGAAUUGGGGGAAAAAUCAUGGAAGGAAUAAGAAUGUAUCAGGAACCCCUCCAUUGACAGCAUCAUGCCAUUGUCUCAUUCUUCCAACCACGCUACAAGGUAGCAAGAAAAGCCAUACUAGUGUUAAGGUUGGAAAUCAAGGCCAAGAGAGCUACCUCUGGGUCACUAGCUUAGAGGAAGAGACAGAACCUGAACACUCUCCUUGGCAUGGGGCAGAAGCUCUGUUACUUUCUCACACCUCCAGAUCUUUGGCCUUAUGUCCAUCAGCGCCCCCAGCCAAAACCCACAUGGAUCUGAGAGAUGGCUUUGCAGUUUGCUCUUCAUAUCAGAAAGAAGCAUCCAGUUACACUAUAAUUUUGUUCCUUUCACAGUCAUGUCGGAAAUGUGUCUUUCAUCACAGUUUUUCCUAUUGUUCCCUGUGUUCUGGCUUUAAGACCAAUGCUACAGACAGAAAUGUUCAAAAGAGGCUUCAUCAGGAAGCACCUGAGGACAGAAUGUGAAAUGACUUAUUUUGUCCUCUCCUACCCAAGGAGACUGCUGAAUUUAGGAGGAAAAUCUCUUAGGAAUUGUGUAAUUAAAAAUAUAUAGAUGAUUACUCUGUCAGACCAUGAGAAGAUAAUUCACUGUUAAUAAAGAAUGCAGGGCCAGGUGUGGUGGCUCACCGCUGCACUCAAGCCUGGGUGACAGAGCAAGACCAUGUCUCAAAAAAAAAAAAAAAAAGUAGAAGAAAAUGGUAUGCUGUUUCCUUGGGAGGAAAAUGAAGUGGAGAGUUUUCUGACAUUCAGUUAGUUCACAAACAUUCAUGGAGAAUGUUCUGGGUCCAGGGUGCAGAGACGCAUGGCCUAGCUCUGUCGUUGGGUCAGUCUCCAACCUUGGGGGAGGAUGACAUGCAAAUCAACAACGUGACAAGUGGGUGCAGAGAAGCCACAGUACAGGGGAGGUGAGAUAAAGGCACAGUCAGUCCUGCUGAGAAGGUCAAAGGAAGCUUCCCAGAUGCUGUGAUACUUGGGCUGGGCCUUGAAGGACACACAGGAAUUUUCCAGUAGACAGAUGUUUAUAAUCCAGUACAAAGAAGACAGUCAAUUACUCAGGGAGUUAAGCAAAUCCAUACGCGUGCUCCCGGCCUCUUCUUCGUGCCAUGCGUUGUAGCCAGCAGUGGCAAGACAGCAGUAAACAUCUCUGACCUACAAAAAUGGUAAUGUCACAUGGUUCAGUCUAACACAUUCUACCAAUGUGCAGCAUCAAGCCUCUCAAACACUUCAGAAAUAUGUUCUGGAUGAUUAA